GAUGAAGAACGUAGCGAAAUGCGAUAAGUAAUGUGAAUUGCAGAAUUCAGUGAAUCAUCGAAUCUUUGAACGCACAUUGCGCCCGCCAGUAUUCUGGCGGGCAUGCCUGUUCGAGCGUCAUUUCAACCCUCAAGACCCCUUCGGGGGACUUGGUGUUGGGGACCGGCACAGGGCCUGCUUGCUUGUCUCGCAGCGCCUCGCCGCCUCCGAAAUGAAUUGGCGGCCUCGUCGCGGCCUCCUCUGCGUAGUAGCACAACCUCGCAACGGGAGCGUGACGCGGCCACUGCCGUAAAACAACCCAAUUUUAUUAGAGUUGACCUCGAAUCAGGUAGGAAUACCCGCUGAACUUAAGCAUAUCAAUAAGCGGAGGA
RNAcentral lists this unclassified non-coding RNA (371 nucleotides) under soil metagenome. RNAcentral describes it as "partial contains 5.8S ribosomal RNA, internal transcribed spacer 2, and large subunit ribosomal RNA". The stretch from base 1 to 120 matches the Rfam family "5.8S ribosomal RNA", at positions 35 to 154 of the family's 154-position model. The record is from RNAcentral.